Pistacia vera is the source of this 1287-nucleotide long non-coding RNA. RefSeq lists it as uncharacterized. NCBI's taxonomy places the organism in Eukaryota, Viridiplantae, Streptophyta, Magnoliopsida, Sapindales, Anacardiaceae. The transcript is spliced from 3 exons. The record is from RefSeq and is a predicted model, not a curated record.
UCACAACUCCUAAAAUUUACAGUCCUCGUCACGUUGGCAUCGAAAAUCCCCAAACUACAAAACCCUACCGCCGACGACGCCAUUGCAGAUCCACUUCUCCACUCCGGCCGCCACUUCUUCUCCAUUUUCUGCCCUAAAUCCGUCACUUCUCCUCUUGGGCAAUUACGUCACCUUCAAUAUCGCGUCGUAUUCGAAAAAGGAGCUGAUUGAACUCAAGAAUCGCUUGAUUGUGGAGCUUGAACACAUUCAUCAAUUAAAGGAAUUGAUGAUAAUGGAGAUGUUGCUGAUGAUCAUUACCACUGAUUCUUGGAAGAUAUUGAGAUUAUGCAUUCACUUGGAGUAAAUGCAUACCGGUUCUCAAUUUCAUGGGUUAGAAUUUUACCAAGUAUGUUCUUAGUAACAAUUAAUUGAAUGUUAAUGUAGUGAGAUUAAUAUUCAAUUACUUGAUGAUAAUGUUCCUGAGCUGUAACAGAAGGCAGAUUUGGUGAAGUUAAUCCAAAUGGAAUCAUGUUUUAUAAUAAUAUUAUAGCCCAUCUCUUGCGCAGAGGUAAUAUCCUUUUCAAUGAAUCUACAACUUAAGCACUUGUGUUUUUUUUUUUUUUUUACAAUUUUCUUGAAGAUGACGAAUAUGAAUUGGUUAAUGCAGGAAUUGAGCCGUUUGUGACCAUAUUCCAUUUGGCUUACCACAAGAACUAGAAGAUAGAUAUGGGUCUUGGUUCAGCCCUCUAAUUCGGGAAGAUUUUGUACAUUUUGCCAAAAUAUGCUUUGAGAAUUUUGGUGAUCGAGUUAAGAGUUGGGCAACCAUCAACGAGCCGAACCUGCUAAGCAAAAUGGUAUAUGUUAGGGGAUGGUAGCCUCCAGCUCACUGUUCAGCACCAUUUGGAAAUUGUUCUGCUGGCAACUCUGAUGUAGAGCCCCUCAUUGUUAUGCACAACAUGUUACUGUCACAUGCCAAGGCUGUUAAGCUAUACCGUGAGCAGUUUCAGGUAAUAGAAUGAGCUUGAAUAGUAAAUUGUGAAGUGCUUAUAUGGCAUGAAGCAGGGACAUCAAAUGACAGUGCCCAGUUUGCUGGCUUGUUUGAAACCGCUGGAAAUGUUGAGAUGGUUGAGGUAAUUUUGGUUUUGAAUUAAUUUUUGUUUUUAAUCUUUCAGAUUUGUCUGCGAUCGAUUCUUUGUUAGAUUAGUGUUAGUGAAAGAAACUUACUUUUAGAUUUGUUUAGAGCAAGAAGAUUGACUUUGAUGAUAAAAAGUUGAUUAUGACUCGCUUAUUGGUAAACUUGUUUUUAAU